CUAAGGUUGACCUCGGAUCAGGUAGGAAUACCCGCUGAACUUAAGCAUAUCAAUAAGCGGAGG
This 63-nucleotide unclassified non-coding RNA is filed under the name Sarcinomyces sp. 1313A. RNAcentral describes it as "partial 28S rRNA". The stretch from base 8 to 63 matches the Rfam family "Eukaryotic large subunit ribosomal RNA", at positions 1 to 56 of the family's 3401-position model. The record is from RNAcentral. Lineage: Eukaryota; Fungi; Ascomycota; Eurotiomycetes; Chaetothyriales.